CCUACGGGAGGCAGCAGUAAGGAAUAUUGGUCAAUGGACGAAAGUCUGAACCAGCCAUGCCGCGUGAAGGAUGAAGGCCCUCUGGGUUGUAAACUUCUUUUAUCUGGGACGAAAAAAGCUCAUUCUUGAGCACUUGACGGUACCAGAGGAAUAAGCACCGGCUAACUCCGUGCCAGCAGCCGCGGUAAUACGGAGGGUGCAAGCGUUAUCCGGAUUCACUGGGUUUAAAGGGUGCGUAGGUGGGUCUGUAAGUCAGUGGUGAAAUCUCCGAGCUUAACUCGGAAACUGCCAUUGAUACUAUAGGUCUUGAAUCAUCUGGAGGUAAGCGGAAUAUGUCAUGUGGCGGUGAAAUGCUUAGAUAUGACAUAGAACACCAAUUGCGAAGGCAGCUUACUACGGGUGCAUUGACACUGAGGCACGAAAGCGUGGGGAAUCAAACAGGAUUAGAUACCCUGGUAGUCCACGCCUAAACGANAGANANCACNNNNNACACUGUGUGU
This 500-nucleotide ribosomal RNA is filed under the name uncultured bacterium. RNAcentral describes it as "bacterial SSU rRNA". It matches the Rfam family "Bacterial small subunit ribosomal RNA", at positions 338 to 835 of the family's 1533-position model. The record is from RNAcentral.